AUAUUAUAAAGUAAUCAUCUGUAAAAGGACCCUGAAUGCCAAAUAUAAUGCAGGCUGAGUGUCUAUGGUUGUGCUGUAUAAACCUUGAAAACAUCAGUUUAUAGAUUGGAAAUGCUGACAACCCAUGAACUACAAUGCUGCGACCAGAUAAUUGAAUCCACAUUCCCAUGCAUUUGGAAAAUCAAUAACUGUUAGAAGCAAAGGGCACUACCUUAAAAGCCCAAUGAGCACUUCAUGCAAAUGGGAGGGUUAUUGGAAUGAAAAGCUGGCUGUGAAACACACAUCAUGUGCCAGAUGUCUGCCAGAGCAUCAUGUUCGAAAGACUUAGUGCACUAAAUACAUGCAUGACCUAGCCCUGAGCAAACACCAUCAUUUCUUCUUUCUUCCAGAUUUAGGAUGAUAAAUGGCCUGCUGUGCCAGCCUCAGAAAUUGCCAAGUUCAGGGAUCUUGAGCUGAGGGCAAACGAAUCCAGGCACGAAUGAGCCCUCCUGUGAUACAUGAAGUGGUGGUCCUAUGGCUAGCAGAGAUACCUGGCUGCGUGCAAGAGCCAGCAGACUACACAAGAGCACAGCCCACAGCGACUCUGUAAGUAUGCAGACCAAGGGAAUUCGUUCUGACAGCUGGCCACAUUGGCAGGGCAGGCAGUGCCUGCAGCAGCAGAAUUUGGGAGCUGUAGAGAUUUGUCUCUGCCUGCAGCACAUCCAUGCAGGCCCAGGCUGCUGUGGGUGCUGCUGUGAGAAUGCUAGGGCCAGGGUGCCUGGAGCAGUGCUUCUGACCCCAUCGCUCCUCUCUGCAGCAAGAGACCCUGCACGGCUUCCUCAUGCUGCUUCCCCUCUCCCUGGGGCUUGGGAGUCGCACCCUAUUGUAACUUUGGCUUUCUUCCCAGCAGCCUAAAGACAACGUAAUAUUUCUCUCUGGGAGUCAUCCUUUAUCCAUC
Long non-coding RNA from Gallus gallus (chicken), 937 nucleotides. NCBI's taxonomy places the organism in Eukaryota, Metazoa, Chordata, Aves, Galliformes, Phasianidae. The record is from Ensembl.